GCCACAUCACGCUGAAACACCGAUUCCUGUACGAUCACAGAAGUUAAGCAAUGUCGAACCUGGUCAGUACCUAGAUGUGUGAGCGCCUGGGAAUACUAAGAUCUGUAA
Non-coding RNA from Acanthosepion pharaonis, 108 nucleotides. The record is from the annotation of a GenBank genome assembly. NCBI's taxonomy places the organism in Eukaryota, Metazoa, Mollusca, Cephalopoda, Sepiida, Sepiidae.